AAAAACAUGUCUUUUUGUGAAAAAAUUUAAAGUCGGGCCUGCCCACUGAAAGAAAUUUGAAGGGCCGCGGUAUUUUGACCGUGCAAAGGUAGCAUAAUCAUUAGUCUUUUAAUUGAAGGCUGGAAUGAAUGGUUUGACGAAGUAUUAACUGUCUCUUUAUAAGAUGUAGAAUUUAACUUUUAAGUUAAAAGGCUUAAAUAAAAAUAAAGGACGAGAAGACCCUAUAGAGUUUUAUAUAAACAAUUAAUAAAUUUAUUUAGAGGGUGAAAUUUUUAUUUAUUGUUUAUAUUAUGUUGGGGUGACAUAAAGAUAUAAGGAACUCUUUAUUACGGAUUACAUAAAUUUAUGAAUAAUUGAUCCAUUAUUAAUGAUUAUAAGAUAAAAUUACCUUAGGGAUAACAGCGUAAUUUUUCUUAAGAGUUCAUAUCGAAAGAAAAGUUUGCGACCUCGAUGUUGGAUUAAGAUAAUGGUUAGGUGUAGCAGCUUAACUAAUAAGUCUGUUCGACUUUUAAAAUCUUACGU
This 522-nucleotide ribosomal RNA is filed under the name Phlesirtes sp. SK-2016c. RNAcentral's name for it is "partial 16S ribosomal RNA". It matches the Rfam family "Bacterial large subunit ribosomal RNA", at positions 1809 to 2601 of the family's 2925-position model. The record is from RNAcentral. Lineage: Eukaryota; Metazoa; Arthropoda; Insecta; Orthoptera; Tettigoniidae.